UCCGGUUUGUCACCGGCAGUCUCGCAUGAGUCCCCAACUAAAUGCUGGCAACAUGCGACAGGGGUUGCGCUCGUUGCGGGACUUAACCCAACACCUCACGGCACGAGCUGACGACGACCAUGCAGCACCUGUGCUAGCCCCUUACGAACACGGGCUUUCACCCGCUUUAACUAGCAUGUCAAACCCAGGUAAGGUUCUUCGCGUUGCAUCGAAUUAAGCCACAUGCUCCGCCGCUUGUGUGAGCCCCCGUCAAUUCCUUUGAGUUUCAGCCUUGCGAACGUACUCCCCAGGUGGUGUGCUUACUGCGUUAACUGCGUCACGGACCCGCAAGGGCCCACAACUAGCACACAUCGUUUACAGCGUGGACUAC
This 370-nucleotide unclassified non-coding RNA is filed under the name uncultured bacterium. RNAcentral describes it as "contains 16S-23S intergenic spacer region". The record is from RNAcentral.